RNAcentral lists this ribosomal RNA (253 nucleotides) under uncultured bacterium. RNAcentral describes it as "partial 16S ribosomal RNA". It matches the Rfam family "Bacterial small subunit ribosomal RNA", at positions 524 to 776 of the family's 1533-position model. The record is from RNAcentral.
UACGAAGGGGGCUAGCGUUGUUCGGAAUUACUGGGCGUAAAGCGCGCGCAGGCGGUCUUCCAAGUCAGUGGUGAAAGCCUGGAGCUCAACUCCAGAACUGCCAUUGAAACUGUUAGACUUGAGUACGAGAGAGGUGAGUGGAAUUCCCAGUGUAGAGGUGAAAUUCGUAGAUAUUCGGAAGAACACCAGUGGCGAAGGCGACUUACUGGACACAUACUGACGCUGAGGUGCGAAAGCGUGGGGAGCAAACAGG